GACGAACGCUGGCGGCGUGCUUAACACAUGCAAGUCGAACGAAGUGGCGAACGGGUGAGUAAUACGUGUGUAACCUGCCCUCCUUUUUGGGAUAAGCCUUGGAAACGGGGUCUAAUACCGAAUAAAGGGGGAUGGGCUCGCGGCCGAUCAGCUUGUUGGUGGGGUGAGGGCCUACCAAGGCGGUGACGGGUAGCCGGCCUGAGAGGGGGACAGGAAACAUGGGGAAUGGGAGACGGCGCAGACUAUUACGGGAGGCAGGAGUGGGGGAUGUUGCAAAAUGGGCGAAAGCAAGAUGAAGCGGCGCGGCGUCGGGGAUGAUGGAUUGCGGGUGGUAAACAUCGGUGGUAAGCGAAUGGGUAGGUGGAGAAGAAGCGCCGUCUAACUAAGGGCAAGCAGCCGCGGUAAUUC
RNAcentral lists this ribosomal RNA (408 nucleotides) under uncultured bacterium. Its description in RNAcentral is "partial 16S ribosomal RNA". It matches the Rfam family "Bacterial small subunit ribosomal RNA", at positions 28 to 526 of the family's 1533-position model. The record is from RNAcentral.